AUAGAAAUACAGAAUGCAUAGAAAAUACAAGGGUAAGAAGAGGAAUCAUGUGGAAGAAGAGUAAACAUCUGAUGGUGUCCUGGGUAGCUGAAACUGUGGAAAGCAAAACCGUGGAUAAGGGGGAACUACUAUACUGAAAAUGUACAAAACAGAGAAGAUUUCAUUGAAGAAGUCUGCUGUUUCUGGAAUGGGAAAUUAAGCACAACUGGAACAGUUAUCGACUGUGAUUCUUGCUGGGACCAAUAACCUUCUACAAAUACCAACAUCAGUUUUUAUGAAAGGCAAAGAGCUGACAGGUUUACAGACUGCACCCUAACAUUAAGCUACCAGGAGAAACUUCCAAGUUACCCUCUUGUUACUUGUGCCCCAGAGGUGAACACUAUAAACUGCUACAGCAUGCAAUUUAGGGCCACAUUUGGAGCCUCAUCUCUUUGUCAUGACCAACAAAUUUAAAUCCUCAUCAACUGGAAAGAGGAAACUUCAUCUGGAUAAAUACUAUAUUCAUAACUAGGAGAGGUUCGUGAAGAAGUGAUUGGGAAAGAGAGCAAGUCUUGGUUGGACAGUGUGUCUGUUUUCAUGCUGCUGAUAAAGACAUACCUGAGACUGGGCAAUUUACAAAAGAAA
RNAcentral lists this long non-coding RNA (624 nucleotides) under Homo sapiens (human). RNAcentral describes it as "long intergenic non-protein coding RNA 2889". Lineage: Eukaryota; Metazoa; Chordata; Mammalia; Primates; Hominidae. The record is from RNAcentral.